This 862-nucleotide ribosomal RNA is filed under the name Platypleura hilpa. RNAcentral describes it as "SSU rRNA". It matches the Rfam family "Eukaryotic small subunit ribosomal RNA", at positions 45 to 807 of the family's 1831-position model. The record is from RNAcentral. Lineage: Eukaryota; Metazoa; Arthropoda; Insecta; Hemiptera; Cicadidae.
UUAGCCAUGCAAGUCUCAGUACAUGCCGCACUAAGGUGAAACCGCAAAAGGCUCAUUAAAUCAGUUAUGGUUCCUUGGAUCUUAAACAGUUACUUGGAUAACUGUGGUAAUUCUAGAGCUAAUACAUGCAAACAAGUCCCGACCAGAGAUGGGAGGGACGCUUUUAUUAGAUCAAAACCGAUCGGCGUCCGGCUCCGGCCGGCGCCGUCUCUUUUGGUGACUCUGGAUAACUUUUAGCCGAUCGCACGGUCACAGUACCGGCGACGCAUCUUUCAAAUGUCUGACUUAUCAACUGUCGAUGGUAGGCUCUGCGCCUACCAUGGUUGUAACGGGUAACGGGGAAUCAGGGUUCGAUUCCGGAGAGGGAGCCUGAGAAACGGCUACCACAUCCAAGGAAGGCAGCAGGCGCGCAAAUUACCCACUCCCGGCACGGGGAGGUAGUGACGAAAAAUAACGAUACGGGACUCAUCCGAGGCCCCGUAAUCGGAAUGAGUACACUUUAAAUACUUUAACGAGUACCAAUUGGAGGGCAAGUCUGGUGCCAGCAGCCGCGGUAAUUCCAGCUCCAAUAGCGUAUAUUAAAGUUGUUGCGGUUAAAAAGCUCGUAGUUGGAUCUGUGUGCCACGCUGUCGGUUCACCGCCCGUCGGUGUCAACUGGCAUGUCUGUGGGACGUCCUGCCGGUGGCGGUACGGGCUGCCGGCGCUGCGUAGGGGCACAACCCCGAAGCACGCCGGCGUGUCCCGGUCCGCCGAUCCAAUCCCGCCGCGGUGCUCUUCACUGAGUGUCGAGGUGGGCCGGCACGUUUACUUUGAACAAAUUAGAGUGCUCAAAUCACCUCGUAUUUAGGCCUGAAUACUGUGU